GAUGAACGCUGGCGGCGUGCCUAAUACAUGCAAGUCGAGCGAACGGACGAGAAGCUUGCUUCUCUGAUGUUAGCGGCGGACGGGUGAGUAACACGUGGAUAACCUACCUAUAAGACUGGGAUAACUUCGGGAAACCGGAGCUAAUACCGGAUAAUAUUUUGAACCGCAUGGUUCAAAAGUGAAAGACGGUCUUGCUGUCACUUAUAGAUGGAUCCGCGCUGCAUUAGCUAGUUGGUAAGGUAACGGCUUACCAAGGCAACGAUGCAUAGCCGACCUGAGAGGGUGAUCGGCCACACUGGAACUGAGGCACGGUCCAGACGCCUACGGGAGGCAGCAGUAGGGAAUCUUCCGCAAUGGGCGAAAGCCUGACGGAGCAACGCCGCGUGAGUGAUGAAGGUCUUCGGAUCGUAAAACUCUGUUAUUAGGGAAGAACAUAUGUGUAAGUAACUGUGCACAUCUUGACGGUACCUAAUCAGAAAGCCACGGCUAACUACGU
RNAcentral lists this ribosomal RNA (496 nucleotides) under uncultured bacterium. Its description in RNAcentral is "partial 16S ribosomal RNA". It matches the Rfam family "Bacterial small subunit ribosomal RNA", at positions 28 to 506 of the family's 1533-position model. The record is from RNAcentral.